CUUCCUACGGGACGCAGCAGUGGGGAAUAUUGCACAAUGGGGGAAACCCUGAUGCAGCAACGCCGCGUGAGUGAAGAAGUAUUUCGGUAUGUAAAGCUCUAUCAGCAGGGAAGAAGAUGACGGUACCUGAAUAAGAAGCCCCGGCUAACUACGUGCCAGCAGCCGCGGUAAUACGUAGGGGGCAAGCGUUAUCCGGAUUUACUGGGUGUAAAGGGAGCGUAGACGGCAUGGCAAGUCAGAUGUGAAAGCCCG
RNAcentral lists this ribosomal RNA (252 nucleotides) under uncultured bacterium. RNAcentral describes it as "partial 16S ribosomal RNA". It matches the Rfam family "Bacterial small subunit ribosomal RNA", at positions 335 to 604 of the family's 1533-position model. The record is from RNAcentral.